Molecule: ribosomal RNA, 253 nt
Filed under: uncultured bacterium
Lineage: Bacteria
Description: partial 16S ribosomal RNA
Rfam family: Bacterial small subunit ribosomal RNA
Source: RNAcentral
UACGGAGGGGACUAGCGUUGUUCGGAAUUACUGGGCGUAAAGCGCACGUAGGCGGAUUUGUAAGUCAGGGGUGAAAUCCCGGGGCUCAACCCCGGAACUGCCUUUGAUACUGCGAAUCUCGAGUCCGGAAGAGGUGAGUGGAAUUCCUAGUGUAGAGGUGAAAUUCGUAGAUAUUCGGAAGAACACCAGUGGCGAAGGCGGCUCACUGGACUGGUAUUGACGCUGAGGUGCGAAAGCGUGGGGAGCAAACAGG